This is a non-coding RNA of Phalacrocorax carbo (great cormorant), 613 nucleotides long. NCBI's taxonomy places the organism in Eukaryota, Metazoa, Chordata, Aves, Suliformes, Phalacrocoracidae. The record is from RefSeq and is a predicted model, not a curated record.
CUCUUUCAAGUUUGACGCUUCGCUUCAGGCUUCAUGGAGCCAGGCAGCAAGACAUGCGGCGGCAGGGCGAGGGCUGUAGCUGCUGCGGCGGAUCUGUAAGCGGAGGUUCUGGUUACGGUACAACUUUGCCCCGCAGCCUCACGGGGUUAUCUCCCCGCAGCGGUGCCGUAAGGAAGGGAUGAGACGUUUUCCAGCACCAGCCAGAGCGUUCAGUGUUACGCGAAGAAUCUGUUCAAAACGGUAUCGCUUAGUCUUAAUACCGUUUUCAAGUGUUCCAGUCCCUCUAGCUUUUAAAGGAGGUGUUGUGUUUUGACAUGACCCGUUUGCCCAGAAUCUUGCUGCGGCUCAAUUUCCUUCCUAUCCCUUGUGCUGACUGAGCUCCUCCAUUUUCUUCUGUGCUAUUUUAUUAACGUGCUGAAAUAUAGUUUGGGAUUUCUGUUUUUCAGAUGUCUUCUCAGUGUCUCGUGAUGCUCAAGAGAUGCCCCCCGGCCCGGGUUUGCCUGCCGGUCGUUAAGCGUGGUGAAGAGGCAGAGGAGGAGUUGUUCAGGGUGACAGAGGAAAGCCGGGGAAAUGCUGUAAGAAGGUGAUGGGUGAGCCUCAAAGUGGCAGCUGG